RNAcentral lists this long non-coding RNA (582 nucleotides) under Zostera marina. RNAcentral describes it as "long non-coding RNA (ZMAR_LNC004515)". The record is from RNAcentral. Lineage: Eukaryota; Viridiplantae; Streptophyta; Magnoliopsida; Alismatales; Zosteraceae.
CGCCAUGCCAGCGAGAAUGGACCGGAGGACCAUCUAUGCCUUUCUUUUAUUCUUCCACAAGUGUAAUGACGAUGGUCGAUGAGGCGAUGACCAAGUUCAACGACUCGAAUUCACAGACUCGAAAGGAGGUCCGAAUUUAUUAUUGUAUUUGAUAAAUUGCAUUUUUAUCUCUCUAUUUUAUAUGAAUUGCAUUUUUAUCUCUCUAUUUUAUAUGAAUUGCAUUUCUUCCUAUUUUAAAAUUUUGACCUUGUUGUACAGUGUACACUGCAUCUGCAGUUCUGCACCUAAUUAUAAAUUUAUAAUGAUGAGGUAUUAACUAUUAAUCAAGGUACUUUGAUAAUUCUUAACUAAAACACUUUGAUAAUUUUUGCAUCACAUCCAAAUUGAUAAAUUAUAAGCUAAUUCUAACUAAUAAUUAUCCUUUUUAGUUCAUCAAAAUCCAUACAAAUAAAUUCAUACAUUAUCGAUUUAUCAUAUUUGAAAAGUAAAAUAAAUAAAUUUACUUUAUCUUGUCCAUAAUUUUACAGGGAAAUGGCAAACAAGCUUGUCUACAAUGCGGAUCUACCUGGAAAAAAAAUCAUG